GCACAUGGUGAAUGCCUUGGCGAUAAGAGGCGAUGAAGGGCGUAGUGAUCUGCGAAAAGCGUUGGCGAGUUGAUGAACGAGCUUUGACCCAACGAUACCCGAAUGGGGGAACCCACCUGCCAUAAGGUAGGUAUCUUUAAGUGAAUACAUAGCUUAAAGAGGCGAACCGGGAGAACUGAAACAUCUAAGUACCCCGAGGAAAAGAAAUCAACCGAGAUUCUCUUAGUAGCGGCGAGCGAACGGGGAUCAGCCUGCAAGUGAUAGCUUGUGUGUUAGUGGAACGGUCUGGAAAGUCCGGCGAUACAGGGUGAUAGCCCCGUACACGAAAUCUAUCCAUGCAUUAUUCGAGUAAGUCGGGACACGUGUUAUCUUGACUGAACAUGGGGGGACCAUCCUCCAAGGCUAAAUAC
Molecule: ribosomal RNA, 410 nt
Filed under: Schmidingerella taraikaensis
Lineage: Eukaryota; Ciliophora; Spirotrichea; Tintinnida; Rhabdonellidae
Description: partial Bacterial large subunit ribosomal RNA
Rfam family: Bacterial large subunit ribosomal RNA
Source: RNAcentral